UGAAAUCAGCCUAGAGAAAAUCAAACUGGCUUCUAAUAUUGAUUCUUGCAUUUCACAUCUCAUCUUCAGAAGCUUCUCAUGAUGAGGCUCUGAGGAUCCUGGUUGUGGGAGUCAGAGGUCAGUCCAGAUUCAGUGCUGCAGAUCUUCUGUCAGGAAGGAAAGACGGAGGACAGGAGGACAGAGAGAUUGUAAAGACUCCAGUAAUUACAGACGGGGCUCGUAGAAUGAUGCUGGUCACUGGACCAAACCUCUGUGAGGAGGACACAGAGAGACAGACCUUCACAACAGCGCUGUUUCUCUCGUCUCCUGGACCUCACGCCGUUCUAAUGGUCCUGAAUCUGGAAGAUCAACAAUCACAACAGUGUGAUAUUGAGAAACGAGCCCAGGAGCUGCUGGGAGCAGAAGUCCUGCAGUACUGCAUUGUUCUUCUGCUCCAAAAUCACCAGGAACCUUUGACAGGAGCCUCCAGAGGGAUUGCUGGAGAAAUGAUCAACGCAUGUGGAGGAAGAUUUCACAUCAUAAGAGACUCUGAACCAAAACCUGCUCAAAGAACAACUCUUAUAACAGAAAUACACAAG
This is a long non-coding RNA of Cyprinus carpio carpio, 578 nucleotides long. The record is from Ensembl. Lineage: Eukaryota; Metazoa; Chordata; Actinopteri; Cypriniformes; Cyprinidae.